Molecule: long non-coding RNA, 1076 nt
Organism: Equus quagga
Lineage: Eukaryota; Metazoa; Chordata; Mammalia; Perissodactyla; Equidae
Exons: 6
Source: RefSeq, a predicted model, not a curated record
UUUCACUCCUUUCCAGAACAGCUGCCUCAAAGCUCCUCACAACCCUGCACACCCCUCCUCCUGGGCCGCCCUUCCCGCCUUCCGGAGGGAGAAUGCAUUCCUUUGACUCCGCUCAGCAAACCUAGGAUGGGGACAUGGGACUCGUGCGCAGCUGGGGAAGCCAGGGACGAAAAUACAGCCACUGCCCUCAAGGAACUUCUGAUUUUGUGGGAGAUAUUGACAGGGCUGUAAAACAAGCAAACACACAAAGAAGACUCUGCGACAGAAACUAGAUGUCCACUCGCCAGCCAGGUCUGAUGUGUGAACCACCUCUACGGUAGGCUGGCUGGAGCCCUGCUGAAAGGUGGCUCUUCCAUCCAGGCCACAGUGACGAGAGAUAGACCAGUCAGUCAACAAUCAUUCUCUGAGAAUCUCCUGUCACCUCUUUGUUGUGCCCUCAGUGCCUGGACAGUGUUCCACUUGAUGCUGAUCAAAAGGAAGAUGAGCUGUGGAUAAAGCUGACACCUGGAGAGGAAGGCAGAGCUGAGAGAACAGCAGAAUAUGAUGCUGGAGCCCAGAUCAUGCAAUGCCUGAAACUUACCCUACUCCAGUUAUCCAUGAGGAAACUGAGGCAGUGAGAGGUUAAGUAAUUUGCCCAAGGCCACACAACGAGCCAAGAAAUGAUAUUUGAACCCAAGUUGUUUGUGGCCAUGAGGUUUCCAAGGAAUGUAUGUACCCAAGAAGGCUCUGACAAGCAAAUGGCAGAGAAGGGGAGCAUAAAAUUAUGACACGUGUUACAAUCAGCGAUGAAAUACAGGCACCUACUUCCCAUAAUGAGAGGCUGUGAGAAGACCAGAUGGGACAAUGGGUCUGAAACACUCACCACAGGGCCUGGCAGAGAGCAGUGAUGGUAUCGAUGUCGAUGGUUAAAAAUCUGAUUAAUAAUAAUGGACCUACUUGGCUGGUAUUACGACAUGUAACUGUUGCCCAGCUUUCUACGAGUAACCCCUCUUCUGACCCUUCACUGAAUGAUCCUGGAGGAGGAGAAACCAUAAUAAGUGCUUAUUUCUUUUAUAGCUCUCAGAAAGAUCAAUAAA